GGUCUGAUGGUGUAGUUGGUUAUCACAUCCGCUUCACAAUCCAAUGCGUUCGCGGGCGGUCCUCGGUUCGAUCCCGGGUUAGAUCA
Non-coding RNA from Mycena polygramma, 86 nucleotides. The record is from the annotation of a GenBank genome assembly. Lineage: Eukaryota; Fungi; Basidiomycota; Agaricomycetes; Agaricales; Mycenaceae.